This 250-nucleotide ribosomal RNA is filed under the name uncultured prokaryote. RNAcentral describes it as "partial 16S ribosomal RNA". It matches the Rfam family "Bacterial small subunit ribosomal RNA", at positions 524 to 773 of the family's 1533-position model. The record is from RNAcentral.
UACGUAGGGGGCGAGCGUUGUCCGGAAUGAUUGGGCGUAAAGGGCGCGUAGGCGGUUGUUUAAGUCUGGAGUGAAAGUCCUGUUUUUAAGAUGGGAAUUGCUUUGGAUACUGGAUGACUUGAGUGCAGGAGAGGUAAGUGGAAUUCCCAGUGUAGCGGUAAAAUGCGUAGAGAUUGGGAGGAACACCAGUGGCGAAGGCGACUUACUGGACUGUAACUGACGCUGAGGCGCGAAAGUGUGGGGAGCAAAC